Molecule: non-coding RNA, 26 nt
Filed under: Mus musculus (house mouse)
Lineage: Eukaryota; Metazoa; Chordata; Mammalia; Rodentia; Muridae
Source: RNAcentral
UGGUGCUUUGAAUGAGAAUGUGCACC